This is a long non-coding RNA of Columba livia (rock pigeon), 1740 nucleotides long. RefSeq lists it as uncharacterized. The transcript is spliced from 3 exons. The record is from RefSeq and is a predicted model, not a curated record. Lineage: Eukaryota; Metazoa; Chordata; Aves; Columbiformes; Columbidae.
UGUCGCAGUUCAGUGUGUUGUUUGCUUCCUCGGGGUUUCCCAGCGGCAGUUCUGGGCUCAGCUGCUGCUCUGGCCUUUCCCUCCUCUGGAGCCUGCACCAAACUGCUGCUGGUUUGGCUGGGGGGUCGAUGCCUCUGCCAACUCCCCCACUCGAAGCCACAGGACGAGUCCCAAGUUUGUCCAUCUGCAGCUCAGAACCUGCGCUCGUCACAUCUCCUUCCGCACGGGCUGUUGGAAACCACGUUCCUGACCCCAUGAACGUCCCCGUUCUCCAUCCGACUCCUCUGCUGAGGGGGCGUUUGUGCCCGGGCAGGCGGCAGCCGUGUCGCCCCAGCAGAGCCCACAAGGUGUCCCCGCCCUGCUCAGCCCUGGGGACCCCAGUGUGACAUCAGAGCCGCCACUGUGAGGUCAGAGUUGGCCAGCGUGGCCUUCCCGCCCGGGGAAGGAGCCCCAGCUGCCAUUUGGCUGUUGCCCUGGGCAGGCAGCUCCUGCUGCGGGUGCUCUUGGGCUGCUUGAGCUGUUGGUGCCUGGACAGGCCAAGUGCUGCGCUGAGCGGGGAGCCCGCCCUUGCCAGCCAUGGCCAGGAGAAAGGCACCCCGGAGAAGAUGCCGAGAGGCCUCCAAAGGCUCCUUGGAGGCCAAGGCUGACCAAGAGCCAGCAGGGGAGGCAGGGGGGCCGAGCCGCUGCCAGACGAGUGGGUAAGAAUUGGCCGCUCCUGCCCGGGGCGGCGGGUUGGGGUGGGAGCUGGGACGCGGCCGGACACGACCUGUGGGGUGGGGAGCAGCGUGGGGAAGAUGACAGAGGCUUCUGGAGAGAGAAACGGAGCUGGGGAAGGGGCUGCCUCUGUCCCCGCAGCUGGGACGUCCCCUGCGAGGCUUCCCGAGGCCGAGCUCUGGCCAGGGCCUCGGCUCACACAGCGUGGGGCUGGUGGGCAAGCGGCAUCUCCCUUUGUCCUCCCGCAGGAGCGCCGGCACGAGGUUGGAGCUGGUGACGCGAUUCUGGAAGUCAAGUCCCGGCUCUGCCACUCUGGGAUUUGCAAAGUGGCACAAUGAGGCCACAAAAAUUGCAUGGAUGGUCUUCAGCCUCACUUGCCAUGGGGCAGGUGCCCUGGUCUCGCUGUGGACACGUCUGCUGAGUGUGUCCGUCUUUGCCGUGCACAGGAUGGCCCCCAAAAAGAACUGGUUUGUGAUGGACAGGCAGAGGAUGCAGUUCUUGAGGGACAUGAGGUUCUUUCGAGUCAUCCUCCUGUUGCUCCUGGUGGCUCUUGGCAUUUACUGCACAACCUCGAUGCCAGGGUGGACGACACGGGCGAAGGGGUGGAUGGAGGUGGGUGACUCCUGCAAGGGAGCGCUGCUGACAGCGGCUGGAGAAAUCAUGGGCUCUUCUGCUCCCGUGCAGGGUGAUGCAAAGAAAGAGCAGCUUGUGCCGUGUCUCCUGGGGAAGCCUCCCCCGGGGAGCCCCGGCAGCUCUGGUGGUGGAGACUCUAACGGGGAAUUGUUCCCUUUCAGGAGCAGAUCUGUGGGUCUGCGAUCACACAGAAGAUCCAGAGGUAAGAGAUGUUUCCUGAGCUGCAACUGGGUCUGUGCAGAAGCCUCAGCCAACACCUCGUGCUACCUGCACCCAUUUUCCUAAAGCCAGGGCUCCCGUCCUUCCCUCUGGCCUUUGCAUUGCUCAGCCGGGUGAGGAGGGAAGCGCUGGCAAAGCCAGGCGAGCAUCCGUGUCUGUGCUCCGUGCUGAGCU